This 1157-nucleotide ribosomal RNA is filed under the name Rickettsia japonica. RNAcentral describes it as "bacterial SSU rRNA". It matches the Rfam family "Bacterial small subunit ribosomal RNA", at positions 335 to 1373 of the family's 1533-position model. The record is from RNAcentral. Lineage: Bacteria; Pseudomonadati; Pseudomonadota; Alphaproteobacteria; Rickettsiales; Rickettsiaceae.
ACUCCUUAUGGGAGGACAGGAAGGGGAGGAUUAAUGACACAAUGGGCGAAAGCAUGAUCCCAGCCAUCCGAGGUGAGUGAUUCAGACAGUCAGGGAUGUAAAAGUCUUUUAUGCAAGGCAGAAUAAUGACGGUUCCUGACAGGAAAAAGCCCCGGCUACUUCCCGUGCCAGCCAGCCGCGGUAAGUACAGUAGGGGGCUAGCAUUGUUCGGAAUUACUGGGCGUAAGAGUGCGUAGGCGGUUUAGUAAGUUGGAAGUGAAAGCCCCGGGCUUACCCUCGGAAUUGCUUUCAAAACUGCUAAUCUAGAGUGUAGUAGGGGAGGAUGGAAUUCCUAGUGUAGAGGUGAAAUUCAUAGAUAUAGGAGGAACGCCGGUGGAGAAGGGCGAUCAUCUGCGCUACAACUCCGCUCAUGCACGAAAGUGUGGGGAGCAAACAGGAUUAGAUACCUUGGUAGUCCCCCCCGUAAACGAAGAGUGCUAGAUAUGGGAAGAUUUUUUUUCGGGUUCGCAGCUAACGCAUUAAGCUUCCCCCCCGGGGAGUAGGGUGUCAAGAUUAAAACUCAAAGGAAUAGUGGGGGGCUCGCACAAGCGGGGGAGCUGGCGGUUAUUUAUUAUGUUACGCGAAAAACCCCCCCCUCCCCUGACAUGGGGGUGGCGGAUCGCAGAGAUUCUUUUGUUCAUGUGGGCGGGCUCACACACAGGUGUUGCACGGCUGUCGUCAGCUCGUGUGGUGAGAUGUAGGGUUAAGUCCCGCAACGAGCGCACCCCUCCUUUUUAUUUGCCAGCGGGUAAUGAGCACUCUAAUGAGACUGCCGGCGACAAUCCGGAGGAAGGAGGGGAGGAUCCUGGCUAAGAAUGCCUUCCUGGCUCAGAACGAACCACGUUGCCGGUGAAGCAACAGUGCGCAUAGCGAACACUGGUUGUGCGAGACGCGGCUUUACAGUUGCUUUGGCAGCAUGUGCGAAUGGAGACAAGCUACCAGCGUUUGUGAUUUUAAAGGAACCGAGCGGCAAGAUACCAGCGAAGGCAUUCAUGAAACUUCGCAUUCCAGGUAAGUGUCCAACAAAUUGCUCGUGGGUUUGUUUUAAGGUAUGAGAAAAGGCGAGUGCGCCCGGGCAGAUUGGCAUGUACUCGAUCGUCUGAUCAAGGGAUCCCUCC